AUAGAAAUCACAUAGAGGGUCUUUUUGAAAUGCAGCUUAUGAUUCAGUAGGUCUGGGUUGAGGUAUGAGAUUGCACUUCUAGCAAGCUCCCAGGUGAUGCUGAU
This 104-nucleotide microRNA precursor is filed under the name Marmota monax (woodchuck). The record is from RNAcentral. Lineage: Eukaryota; Metazoa; Chordata; Mammalia; Rodentia; Sciuridae.